AGAGUUUGAUCAUGGCUCAGGAUGAACGCUAGCGGCAGGCUUAACACAUGCAAGUCGAGGGGCAGCGGGGUGUAGCAAUACAUCGCCGGCGACCGGCGCACGGGUGCGUAACACGUAUGGAAUCUGCCCUGUACUGGGGAAUAGCCCUCCGAAAGGAGGAUUAAUACCCCGUAAUAGCUUGAGUGGCGUCACUCGGGUUUGAAAGCUCCGGCGGUACAGGAUGACCAUGCGCACGAUUAGCUAGUAGGUGAGGUAACGGCUCACCUAGGCUACGAUCGUUAGGGGGCCUGAGAGGGUUAUCCCCCACACUGGUACUGAGACACGGACCAGACUCCUACGGGAGGCAGCAGUGAGGAAUAUUGCGCAAUGGAGGAAACUCUGACGCAGCCAUGCCGCGUGCAGGAAGACGGCCCUACGGGUUGUAAACUGCUUUUAUCAGGGAAGAAACCCCGGGACGUGUCCCGGGUUGACGGUACCUGAGGAAUAAGCACCGGCUAACUCCGUG
This 505-nucleotide ribosomal RNA is filed under the name uncultured bacterium. Its description in RNAcentral is "bacterial SSU rRNA". It matches the Rfam family "Bacterial small subunit ribosomal RNA", at positions 8 to 507 of the family's 1533-position model. The record is from RNAcentral.